AACGUAGGUGGCGAGCGUUAUCCGGAUUUACUGGGCGUAAAGCGUGUGCAGGCGGGGCGACAAGUGGUGUAUGAAAUUUCCCGGCUUAACCGGGAAGGGUUAUGCCAGACUGUCUUUCUGGAGUGCGAGAGAGGGGCGUGGAAUUCCGGGUGUAGUGGUGAAAUGCGUAGAGAUCCGGAGGAACCCCAGAGGCGAAGGCGGCGCCCUGGCUCGCAACUGACGCUCAGACACGACAGCAUGGGGAGCGAACGGG
RNAcentral lists this ribosomal RNA (253 nucleotides) under uncultured bacterium. RNAcentral's name for it is "partial 16S ribosomal RNA". It matches the Rfam family "Bacterial small subunit ribosomal RNA", at positions 524 to 776 of the family's 1533-position model. The record is from RNAcentral.